RNAcentral lists this transfer RNA (60 nucleotides) under Damon diadema. RNAcentral's name for it is "tRNA-Ser". Lineage: Eukaryota; Metazoa; Arthropoda; Arachnida; Amblypygi; Phrynichidae. The record is from RNAcentral.
GAAAAUUCAUUAAAAUGAAAGCCGCUAACUUUCAUCAAACCUCUUAACGGUUAAUUUUCU